GUGGGGGAUAUUGCACAAUGGGGGAAACCCUGAUGCAGCGACGCCGCGUGAGGGAAGACGGUUUUCGGAUUGUAAACCUCUGUCUUUAGGGACGAAAAAAUGACGGUACCUAAGGAGGAAGCCACGGCUAACUACGUGCCAGCAGCCGCGGUAAUACGUAGGUGGCAAGCGUUGUCCGGAAUUACUGGGUGUAAAGGGAGCGUAGGCGGGGAGACAAGUUGAAUGUCUAAACUAUCGGCUUAACUGAUAGUCGCGUUCAAAACUAUCACUCUUGAGUGCAGUAGAGGUAGGCGGAAUUCCUAGUGUAGCGGUGAAAUGCGUAGAUAUUAGGAGGAACACCAGUGGCGAAGGCGGCCUACUGGGCUGUAACUGACGCUGAGGCUCGAAAGCGUGGGUAGCAAACAGGAUUAGAAACCCUAGUAGUCC
RNAcentral lists this ribosomal RNA (426 nucleotides) under uncultured bacterium. RNAcentral describes it as "bacterial SSU rRNA". It matches the Rfam family "Bacterial small subunit ribosomal RNA", at positions 354 to 796 of the family's 1533-position model. The record is from RNAcentral.